UACGAAGGGUGCAAACGUUGCGCGGAAUUACUGGGCGUAAAGGGCUCGUAGGCGGCCAACUAAGUCGGAUGUGAAAUCCCCAGGCUUAACCUGGGAACUGCAUCCGAUACUGGAUGGCUUGAAUCCGGGAGAGGGAUGCAGAAUUCCAGGUGUAGCGGUGAAAUGCGUAGAUAUCUGGAGGAAUACCGGUGGCGAAGGCGGCAUCCUGGACCGGCAUUGACGCUGAGGAGCGAAAGCUAGGGGAGCAAACGGG
Molecule: ribosomal RNA, 253 nt
Filed under: uncultured bacterium
Lineage: Bacteria
Description: partial 16S ribosomal RNA
Rfam family: Bacterial small subunit ribosomal RNA
Source: RNAcentral